This 3974-nucleotide long non-coding RNA is filed under the name Solanum tuberosum (potato). Its description in RNAcentral is "long non-coding RNA (STUB_LNC003832)". The record is from RNAcentral. Lineage: Eukaryota; Viridiplantae; Streptophyta; Magnoliopsida; Solanales; Solanaceae.
UAUGUGGACGGAACGCCCAUUAGAGAAUACAAGAAUAGCGAAUCAAUGGGAGUUUCAUAUCCGAAGAACCAAGCAAUGAGGAUUUACUCGAGUCUUUGGAAUGCAGAUGAUUGGGCUACAAGAGGAGGACUUGUCAAGACUGAUUGGAGCCAAGCACCCUUUAGUGCUUCUUACAGAACUUCAAAUCUAACACAUUCUUUUGGGAUAAACCUUGAUUUGGGGUUCUCUUAUUUUUUGAUUGAACAGAUUCUAUGUGGACGGAAUGCCCAUUAGAGAAUACAAGAAUAGUGAAUCAAUGGGAGUUUCAUAUCCGAAGAACCAACCAAUGAGGAUAUAUUCAAGUCUUUGGAAUGCAGAUGAUUGGGCUACAAGAGGAGGACUUGUCAAGACUGAUUGGAGCCAAGCACCCUUUAGUGCUUCUUACAGAAACUUCAGUUCUAAUGCUUGUAUUCCCAGUUCUUCAUCUUCUUGCAGUUCCAAUACUACAACUUCAACAAGCAAUUCAUGGUUGAAUGAAGAGUUAGAUAACACAAGCCAAGAGAGGCUCAAAUGGGUGCAGAAGAAUUACAUGGUUUAUAAUUACUGCACUGAUUCUAAACGAUUUUCACAAGGAUUUCCAGCAGAUUGUCUUCAGAAUAGCUGAGCAUUUACAGUGAAAUUUUUUGUAUUCUUUUACUUUUGAUCUAUAAAACUAUUAUAUUGAUUCUUUUAUUGUUCUGCACCAACCAGUAGCAGAGGAUUACAAACAUCUUAAUUUUUAGUUUUGUUACUGAGGGAUCGUUUGGUGAAAUUACACUGUGUGUUUGCCCCAAGUUUUCUUAGGAAUAUUUGACUAUUUCAAAAAAUAUAAUUUAUUUCCAUAGUUCUAAAAACUAUUAAAAAUAUCCAUAAAUUUAUAUUAUCUAUUUAUAGUGAAUAUGCUCAAUUAAAAAAUAACCUUAUAACAUAAUUGAUAACAAUCAACAACAACAAAAUAACAAUAUAUGCAAGAGCAAUACAUUAAUCACAUAUUCAAACUUGUCAUUGAUUCGGUUAUAAUUAUAAUCCAUUAGAAACAAUUUGUUCUUUUUUCUCAAUUUUGUCACUGAAAUUAGAAUUCGGAUUCUUCCGGAGGAGGUGGUAACAAACUGUUCCUUAAUAUAAUUUUCCCACAUUCUACGGACAAUCUCUUCCCUACAAGCAUUCAUUGUUAGAUUAGAAGACAGAGAAGACAAAACAAUAUUGUUACUCUGAGUCGAUUGUUCGUCAUCUUCAUCAGUAACCAUAUCAUCACGUUUAUGUUCAUUGAAUAUUUCAUCACUGUUUUGAUUUUCACGCAAAAGAAUUAUGUAAUAUGGCACAAUCAACUACUACUUUCACUUGCAUGCCUAAAUCAUAGUUGUUCAUGUCUUGUUGUAGUAUUCUGAAUCUACUUUUCCACGCACCAAAUGUUCUUUCAAUUACAUUACGCAAAGAGACAUGUCUAUAGUUAAAUAACUCAUUGUCAUGCUUAGGCUCUCUUUCACUUUUCUUGUAGUCCUGCAAAUAAUAUCACAUUCCUUUGUUACUUAAUAGAUAGAGAUGUUUAAUAUGAUUGGUGAGCAUGUUGUUUAAUAGAUAGAGGAGUAAUCUUGUUAUUUAUUGGUAGUAAUAGAUAGAUAUGGUAGAUACAAAAUAAUGGAUUUUUUUUAUAAAAUAUAGAAGUUUGGGGGUGAUUUUUGAAUUUUUUAAAAUUCUCAAGUACUAUAACUUGACCCAAAAACUAGUUUUUUUUAGUAUUUGGAAACUUGAAAUUCUUGACAAAUAUAUUUGCCAAGUUAUGUAGCAAAACACCGCUGGCCAAGUGUUUUCCAAAUUUUUUCCAAGUUUUCCCAAGUUUUAUUUGGGGCCAAACAGGUCCUAUAUCUCUUGUUAUAUUUUCGGUCUAAAUAUACCACCUUCUAUUAUACUUUUGGUCCAAAUAUUUCAUUAUACUUUGACUCAAAUUUAUUCUCGAUCUUAACAAAACAAAUAUGUUUCAAGCUGAGAAUCAAAUAACUUGCUCUGAAUUUUAAAUAAUUUGAUUUCUUUUUAAAUCCAUUAGGUGAUACCAUUUCUAGUAUUCUGGAUACCAUAAAGUGCAGGGGAACUUUUGCCUAUUUUCUAAUAUUUUUGUUGUUUGAACAUGGAUGAUCAUGGUUAGUAAAAUAUUGAUCAAUGAUCAAAAUGCAAAUGCACAAUGGAAAGUGUACACGUUAAAUAAAUGAAAUUGAAAGGGCCAAUCGAGGAGCAAAAAAUUACCCGAAUGUAUUAGGAGUACAGCCGGAUUAGAUGCAUAUCUUGAAUUGAAAUUUGUAAAAUGUUAGCUGUUUGGUCCACAGAUAAUAUUGCCACGGGAUGUAACCUCUUGCUACUCAAAUACCUUAAGGCGGUACUGUAGGUACACUUGAAUAAACAAAGGGAACAAUACACAAGUUUAACUAGUUCCAAUAAUAACGAGAGUUAUGGUGGAAUGGUAAAUAUUUCUUCAUUAAAUUUCAAAUUAGAGUCUCACCUUUGUUAUAGAUCCUUUAUCCUCCAAUGUGGGUUUUUUCAAUGCAAAUUCAAAUUUAGUGAGGCUUUGAUAUAAAUACCGAACACCAAAUUAUAAAAAAAAACAAAAAAAACUAGUUCCAAUGAGAAUGAUAGUGCGAGUCUUGGAAAGACUGACCAUAUAUGGGCUGUCACUUAGCUUUGAUGCCAUCAUUUUUUAUCCUGUUUCCAGCUCAAUCUUUUUUUUCUUGCUUUCUGUAUUACUUUGAACCUUCCUCUUUAUUUCCUCAAGCCUAUCCCCACACGCUCUACCUACUUAUUUGUUGGUGAGGUGGGGGUGGUAUAAACCCUUAUAAAACCCCAUCUAGCUUUCCAACUCCAAUUCAUCCAACAAACUUUGAAAUCUUAAGAAUUAAACAUGGCUUCUUCUUCUAAGUUAGUACUUGUAAUGUGUUUUAUGGUUAGUGCUUUUGGCAUUGCAAUUGGAAACACGUUAGAUCAAGAAUUUGAGAUAACAUGGGGUGAUGGCAGAGCAAAGAUACUCAACAAUGGCGACCUCCUUACUCUCUCACUUGACAAAAUCUCUGGCUCUGGUUUUCAAUCGAAGAAUGAAUAUCUCUUUGGUAAAAUUGACAUGCAGCUCAAACUAGUCACUGGAAAUUCUGCUGGCACUGUCACUGCUUAUUAUGUAAUUCCCUUAAUUUCUUUUCUUAUAUGAUUUUUGAGCUACGUGUUUAUUGAAUUGAAAUGAAAUUGAACCUUUUUAUUUUUUGAAAUUUAUUGCAGUUGUCAUCACAAGGACCAACACAUGAUGAGAUAGAUUUUGAAUUCUUGGGAAAUUUAAGUGGUGAUCCUUAUACUCUCCACACUAACGUAUUUAGCCAAGGCAAAGGAAACAGAGAUCAGCAAUUCCAUCUCUGGUUUGACCCUACUGCUGAUUUCCACACCUAUUCCAUCACUUGGAAUCCACAACGCAUCAUGUAAGUAGUUAAACAUUCAAUCUUACUUCAAAUCUAACACAUUCUUUUGGGAUAAACCUUGAUUUGGGGUUCUCUUAUUUUUUGAUUGAACAGAUUCUAUGUGGACGGAAUGCCCAUUAGAGAAUACAAGAAUAGUGAAUCAAUGGGAGUUUCAUAUCCGAAGAACCAACCAAUGAGGAUAUAUUCAAGUCUUUGGAAUGCAGAUGAUUGGGCUACAAGAGGAGGACUUGUCAAGACUGAUUGGAGCCAAGCACCCUUUAGUGCUUCUUAUAGAAACUUCAAUGCGAAUGCUUGUAUUCCCAAUUCCCCGUCUUCUUGCAAUUCCAAUACUACAACUUCAACUAACAGUUCAUGGUUGAAUGAAGAGUUAGAUAACACAAGCCAAGAGAGGCUCAAAUGGGUGCAGAAGAAUUACAUGGUUUAUAAUUACUGCACUGAUUCUAAGCGAUUUCCUCAAGGAUUUCCAGCAGACUGUCUUCAGAAUAGCUGAGUAUUUACAGUGAA